RNAcentral lists this ribosomal RNA (254 nucleotides) under uncultured bacterium. Its description in RNAcentral is "partial 16S ribosomal RNA". It matches the Rfam family "Bacterial small subunit ribosomal RNA", at positions 524 to 776 of the family's 1533-position model. The record is from RNAcentral.
UACAGAGGGUGCAAGCGUUAAUCGGAAUUACUGGGCGUAAAGCGUGCGCAGGCGGUCUGUUAAGACCGAUGUGAAAUCCCCGGGCUUAACCUGGGAACUGCAUUGGUGACUGGCAGGCUUUGAGUGUGGCAGAGGGAGGUAGAAUUCCACGUGUAGCAGUGAAAUGCGUAGAGAUGUGGAGGAAUACCGAUGGCGAAGGCAGCCUCCUGGGCCAACACUGACGCUCAUGCACGAAAGCGUGGGGAGCAAACAGG